AGUGAACGCUGGCGGUAGGCCUAACACAUGCAAGUCGAACGGCAGCACAGUAAGAGCUUGCUCUUACGGGUGGCGAGUGGCGGACGGGUGAGGAAUACAUCGGAAUCUACUUUUUCGUGGGGGAUAACGUAGGGAAACUUACGCUAAUACCGCAUACGACCUACGGGUGAAAGCAGGGGGUCUUCGGACCUUGCGCGAUUGAAUGAGCCGAUGUCGGAUUAGCUAGUUGGCGGGGUAAAGGCCCACCAAGGCGACGAUCCGUAGCUGGUCUGAGAGGAUGAUCAGCCACACUGGAACUGAGACACGGUCCAGACUCCUACGGGAGGCAGCAGUGGGGAAUAUUGGACAAUGGGCGCAAGCCUGAUCCAGCCAUACCGCGUGGGUGAAGAAGGUCUUCGGGUUGUAAAGCCCUUUUGUUGGGAAAGAAAAGCAGCAGGUUAAUACCCCGCUGUUCUGACGGUACCCAAAGAAUAAGCACCGGCUAACUUCGUG
RNAcentral lists this ribosomal RNA (492 nucleotides) under uncultured bacterium. RNAcentral describes it as "partial 16S ribosomal RNA". It matches the Rfam family "Bacterial small subunit ribosomal RNA", at positions 29 to 507 of the family's 1533-position model. The record is from RNAcentral.